Molecule: ribosomal RNA, 498 nt
Filed under: uncultured bacterium
Lineage: Bacteria
Description: partial 16S ribosomal RNA
Rfam family: Bacterial small subunit ribosomal RNA
Source: RNAcentral
GAUGAACGCUAGCGGCAGGCCUAAUACAUGCAAGUCGGACGGGAUUGGGGAGCUUGCUCCCCAUGAGAGUGGCGCACGGGUGCGUAACACGUAUGUAACCUACCCUUGUCAGGGGGAUAGCCUCUCGAAAGAGAGAUUAACACCGCAUAACAUUAUUGGAUGGCAUCAUUUAAUAAUCAAAUAUUUAUAGGACAAGGAUGGGCAUGCGGGACAUUAGCUAGUUGGUAGGGUAACGGCUUACCUAGGCUACGAUGUCUAGGGGAUCUGAGAGGAUGGCACCCCACACUGGUACUGAGAAACGGACCAGACUCCUACGGGAGGCAGCAGUAAGGAAUAUUGGUCAAUGGGCGCAAGCCUGAACCAGCCGUGCCGCGUGCAGGAAGACGGCCCUACGGGUUGUAAACUGCUCUUGCGCCGGAAUAAACCCUUUUACGAGUAAGAGGCUGAAUGUACCGUAAGAAUAAGGAUCGGCUAACUCCGUGCCAGCCGCCGCCGUAA